Molecule: ribosomal RNA, 496 nt
Filed under: uncultured bacterium
Lineage: Bacteria
Description: bacterial SSU rRNA
Rfam family: Bacterial small subunit ribosomal RNA
Source: RNAcentral
AGAGUUUGAUCAUGGCUCAGGAUGAACGCUAGCGGCAGGCCUAAUACAUGCAAGUCGAACGCUCAGUAGCAAUACUGGGAGUGGCGCACGGGUGCGUAACGCGUACACAAUCUACCUCUAAGCGGGGGACACCUCCUGGAAACGGGGAUUAAUACCGCAUAAUAUGCCGAAGUCGCAUGACUUUGGUAUUAAAGCAGCAAUGCACUUAGAGAUGAGUGUGCGUCCCAUUAGGUAGUUGGUGAGGUAACGGCUCACCAAGCCUAUGAUGGGUAGCCGGUCUGAGAGGAUGGUCGGCCACACGGGCACUGAGACACGGGCCCGACUCCUACGGGAGGCAGCAGUAAGGAAUAUUGGUCAAUGGUGGAAACACUGAACCAGCCAUGCCGCGUGGAGGAAUAAGGUCCUACGGAUUGUAAAUUCCUUUUGACGAGGAAGAAAAUGUUAGAUUUAUCUAAUUUUGACGGUACUCGUAGAAUAAGCACCGGCUAACUCCGUG